This 25-nucleotide non-coding RNA is filed under the name Cricetulus griseus (Chinese hamster). Lineage: Eukaryota; Metazoa; Chordata; Mammalia; Rodentia; Cricetidae. The record is from RNAcentral. RNAcentral also lists the same sequence under 1 other name.
UUAGCUCAAAUGGUAGAGCGCUCGC